UACGUAGGGUGCGAGCGUUGUCCGGAAUUAUUGGGCGUAAAGGGCUCGUAGGCGGUUUGUCACGUCGGGUGUGAAAACUCGGGGCUCAACCCCGAGCCUGCUUCCGAUACGGGCAGACUAGAGGUAUGCAGGGGAGAAUGGAAUUCCUGGUGUAGCGGUGAAAUGCGCAGAUAUCAGGAGGAACACCGGUGGCGAAGGCGGUUCUCUGGGCAUUACCUGACGCUGAGGAGCGAAAGUGUGGGGAGCGAACAGG
Molecule: ribosomal RNA, 253 nt
Filed under: uncultured bacterium
Lineage: Bacteria
Description: partial 16S ribosomal RNA
Rfam family: Bacterial small subunit ribosomal RNA
Source: RNAcentral